Hermetia illucens (black soldier fly) is the source of this 6101-nucleotide long non-coding RNA. RefSeq lists it as uncharacterized. The record is from RefSeq and is a predicted model, not a curated record. Lineage: Eukaryota; Metazoa; Arthropoda; Insecta; Diptera; Stratiomyidae. The transcript has 2 exons.
GCGACUGGAGGGACGACAUUGCGAUAAAUUUUAGAUUUGAGACGUUCGUUGAUACGUCGAUCACAAAGAACACCAGUUGUGGAACGCCACUUCAUCCAGGUUUUUUACCAUAGAUAUGUAUUGUAAUCGGUUCAUGAAAGUCUACAUUCGAAACUCGUAUCAAGUUUUUCCGUCAGGUUUUAUGAUAUUUCUUCAUAUUUUCAAUUUACCUUUCAUUGGCUGUGUCCCAGUUGUAGUUCACAAGGUUCACGAUCGCGACCGGGAUGGUUUCUUUUCCAUUUGAUUGUGGUGAUUGUGAUGCAUGCUUCAAAUGGAAUGGCGUCGCGGGUUAAACUGUCAUUAUAUUAUAUACGACUUAUGGAGACGCUCGUGCCCUUCCUCUACUGCUCUGCGUUAAAUAUCCUUGGGGCGAUCCACUUGUCGGCCAUCUGGGGAGAGUGGCUUCCACUGCAUGCCGUAACCCGCAAUGCAAUUGUCGCCCCUCCUUAAUGUGUGACCUAUUAACUGCCACUUUGAACAAUAUCGCGUACCGGUACCAGGCUUGUGCGACGACCAAGUUCUGUGCUUGAGAUAGUGUCAGACCAGCAUACUCCAAAAAUACGUCGAAGACAGAUACUGACAAAAGGUUUAAGCUUUUGGGCAGCAGUUGAAUUCACUUUCACAAGAUGUCAUUAAAUUCCGCCACGUCCUUAGGACAAGGUAGCGAGAAGAACGUCACCAAUAACAAAACAAAAUAACAUCAGUAGCAGGAUGCUACCCCGACGGACUCCGCUUUAGACCUCAAAAUCCUCCGAGAUUUUAUCUCGGUGCAUUUUUUACCUCGGACAUUUUGCGCCAUCAUAUGUCAAUCUGAUAAUAGGUAUCAGUUCCUUCGGAAUGCCCCUCCUGCGUAGAGCGCUCCAGAUAUUCUCCCUGUUCACGCUAUCGAAAGCUUUCUCUAAUGAUGAUGAAAAGCAGGCGCAGCGAAGAUCUAAACUCAGCGCACUGCUCCAAAACAAUCCCUAGGAUAUUGAUGUGGUCAAUGCAGAAAGAUCCGGAGCGGAAACUAACCUGCUCUUUGUCGAUCAAGCUUUCCAGAUGUUCUUUGAUGCGUUUCAGGAUUAUUUUAGCUAUAAUUUUUGCGAUAUCAAGAAACACGCAGAUACCCUUCCAAUUGUCACAAUCAAAACGGGUUCCCUUCUUUGGAAUCUUCAUGAUCAUCCCCUUCUUCCACUCUCUGGAAAAGAUCUUGGAUUCCCAACAUUUCGGUAUGAGUAGAAACAGCAGAUCUGCAGUAACUGCGGGGGCAGCGAUAAAUAACUCUGCGCGGAGAUUGUCAAGCCCCGCGGAUUCACCCUCUUUGAGUGUAUUGGUGGCAGAAAUGAUUUCUCUUCUGCUUGAAGGAGCAGUCCGCAUGCGCAUAUUACGGUGACUAGCCAUUUCACCCACAAGGCGAGGAAUCUCACCGAUGUGAUAUGGUUAAGAACCCCGGUGGAGUUUUCUUUCCACGUCUUCAGUUUUCCAGUAUCAUGGAUAAAAAUUCGAACGUUGAUAUCCUUCACAGAAUCAUCGAAAAAGUUGCGACCACAUACCAGCUCUUUCGUGAUGUGGUAUACAUUUCUGAAAUCAUUGCGAUCUCCGGUAUAUUCCGCCUUCCUGUCCAGCGUAAUAUCAUAUUCCCUCUUGUCACGGCGCGCGUACACUACGCUCAACUUCUCGAGGUUUCACUCGGUAUUGGUAUCGCAGUAGUCAGUAGAGCCGUCUGUUCAUCGAUCCGCUGGCCGACGAUCUGCCCAGCACCUGAGAAAAGAAAAUUUUUGAUGGCAGCCCAGUGCUCAGCGACAUUCUCAGGCGGAUUACUUAGUAUAGUCCUAUCAACAAGAUAGCUCUCCCACUGUCAAGCAAUACCUGGGUCAUGCAACCGGUCGACUUUGAAUUUGAGGGUCGCAGCUCCCUGAGCUGCAUUUAACUACUCGUAGAAAGCAUAAUUCUCCAUUAUAUCGGAAGUCUCCGUUCGUGCGUUGCAUUGUACAAUCAUGAUGUCCCUUAACUUGGACAGGAAUUCUGCAGUUAGAAGUCGAUCAGAAAUAGGCCCUCAGAUCAAAGAGCGCGCAUUCCGGUAGUCGCCAGAAACAACCCGACGCCAGAUUUACAUCUGCUACCUCUUCCCUUUCCCAGAUUGCCACAAAAGGGAGAGGAACAUUCUUUAGAGUCCCACCAUCUCACUUCCCUUAGGACCAGAAUGUCAAGCUUUUAUCGUUGGAAUUCCUGCUCAAGUUGAAAAAAGCGAGCAUUCUGAGGACCCUCGUUACCGCUGUAGAGGAGCGUGCGCAGAUUUCACAAACCAAUCAGUUUUCGAUAGCGAAAGAUCGUUGUCGUGAGGUCAGUUCCUAUCUGAUACGUUGUUGACGUUUCGGUAGCAAUCAAGUUUGACACCUAGACUCCCAAACUAUAUACCAUUUUGAAGCUCAGACUCUUUACCAAUAGUAGUGAUCACAAACUAAGCCCCUUUUUGCGAAAUUCUCAAUAUUAAGGGAAAUACAAACGUUUAAAGUUUUUCCCAAGAUUUCUCCAAAUUUCAGAAAUUUUUCUGCCACUUGCAGGAUUCUGGCCCACAAUUUCUAUCACUUUUAGGUGCCUUUUACUAUAAGCAGGGAAGACAGGAUAAGCCCCAACUCACAGGGCGCAAGAACUGUCAUUUGACUACCAAUCAGCCAAUAUGGGUCACUUCGAGCCAAACACACGGACGUCAAAUGGAACGACCUUGGAUACAGGAUAUCUAAUAGGCAAUACCCACAUUUAGCGGUUCCGCAUUUGGGUAGCUUAUCCGUACACAUCAUAAGCAUCCAGCAGUGUCUACCUGCCGUUUGGUAUCUAUAAUGUGUAAAAUAGGUUCCCCUAAUUCAUUUGGAAGUCCGAAUUGCUGACAUCUAUUGUUUUAUUCGUGAGCUUUAUUUGCUCCAUUGAUCCGACUGUCCACCUAAGAUAACCGGAAAUAAAACCAAUGAUGGAGGAGCAUAAGAAAAAGUUACAGCACAGGGCAGGAAACCCAGAAGUGUACGGUUUUUGGGAGUUGGUAGGAAAGGCAGAAGAAAAACCGGAAGAAAGGAGGCGUGAAAGGUUAAACGAAUCAGCAAGCCAGUAAAUCCCGGAAAAGAAGGGCUCAACUCCCAAAAUCGAGCAGGUAAAGAGAACGGGUGAAACCCCGAGGGCUUCAUAUGCUGGGUGAUGAGUUGAAAGUUUCGAGACUCCCUCCAAAUUAAGCUCCUGACGAAGCAAAUUUGUCAAACCGGUCAACACAGGCUGACCCUGCUUCUGAAGCGGACGAAAGCUAAAGAAGGUAAACAUGUAGCCACAAUUCUAAAGAAAAAAGUGAAUCUCUCAAGAGGGAUGCGGAUGCCUAGAGAAAGGUGGUACCCAGGGAAAGGAGAAAUCAGAGGAAGCUAAUACCGGAGGUUAUCAUCAUCUUCAAACAUGGUGAAGGAUAUAUGCACUAACAUUAUCAGAAGAGUAUAAUGUAAAUAAUUACAAUUUUCUUUUUUGCUGGUAUUUAUAUUGAUAUGUUUUAUAGCAUUGCAGAUGACCGCAAAUUGUUCCCGAAAUAUUAUCAAAAAAAUCAUCCAGUUAUUAACGUUAUUUUAGUCGGUAGAAGUACCCCAAGACUCCACUCUGUUAACACACAGCCGCAUGAAGAUGUGUCAGCCUAAGGACUAGGCGGCACUGAAGUGGUGCCUCAGAUACUUUUGGUUUCGGUCAUACUGCAAAAGCAUGUACCAGUUUGAAAGAAUGAUGGAAGCAAUGCAAAAGAUCUGGAGUGGAAGACCUUACCAACAAGGACUGUGGAGUUGACCGAAAUUGCUUGCUGUGCAAAGGGAAGGAGGGUGUGGGCGAUCGGCACAUUGCAGACAGCCAAUGUCCAGAAUAUCACAGAUUAAAUUGAUACAAAUCAACCUCAACCACUACCAGACGGUUCAGGACUUUCUCUCACAUACCAUCCGAUAAAAGAUAUCGAUAUGCCAUAAUUAGUGAGCCAUAUCGAAAUCACGGUGGUAGAAUUUGAGUCAAAGGUAAAACAGGCCAAGCGCAGCAGCAGAAUUAAUAGAGCACGCAGAUGAAAAUUUCAUGAGAGCGAAGGUGAAAGGAGUUCACAUAUACAACUGCUAUGCUCUACUUAGCGAUUGCAGGGGGUUCCAUAAACUAACAGUUCCCUUCCUUCUUUUUCCUCCCGUUGGUAAAUGGAAUUCCCAGAGUUGAAAGCUCCCCACAGCGGGGAAGCUCGAAGGCUGGACCAAAGUAACGUAACAAAAGAUUCCAGGCUAAUUCUCACUCGAUGGGGGAGUGUUUAGUUGGUAGUCUGACGGCGUAUCGUUCAGGAGUAUAACACUUUGUACAUAGACCUAUUUACCAACCCUACCGUCCGAAAAAGAUUUCUCUACGUAGCGCACCACGACGAAGGAGAAAAAGUACGGCCUGAGUUGUCUGGAAAUGAUUUUGGCCACUCUGUUUUCUCACCACCAAAGCGGUGAAAUGCAAACGGUGAUUCAGCUCAACAAGUGCGUGAUACCUUUAGUAACCGAGGAAGACUUCCGGGGAUGUGUGGUAGGAUCGUCUACAACAAGGCCCCAGGUUUGGAAGACAUCUCUAAUGGAGCUUUCAAGCUAGCAGUGGAGACUAGGCGUGACCUUUCGCCGACACCUCCAGACCGUGCAUAGAAGAAGCCUAUUCCCUAUUUAGUGGAAAAAGCAGAAGUUGGUAUUCCAGCAUUAUAUCGCUCGAUGUGUCUGUUGGGUACAACAGGAGAGAUGAUAGACGUUUUCUUCUAUAACAAAAGCUAUUCAAAAGCAUCAGUGGCUACCAGCGCCAGUGUGGAUUCGGCGCGCACGUUCCACGGUGGAUGAUUUCUCACGGCUACUGUGUCAUGUUUCCAUUGGAUAUGAAAAAUGCAUUUGGCUUACCUGACAUAUAUGUUGCCGGUUACUUGGCAAGUCUGAUCGAAGAAUACCCCUCAUAGGCGACUCUCUGCCCUAAACGACACAUCGUUAUAUUGGAAGUAACACAGGGCUUCACUUUGGUUCCUCUGCUGCAGAAUGUCAUAUAUUAGGUCUACUGGAAAGUGCUGAGCGCUUAGGUUGCAACAAGCUUUAACAGAUAAUCCAUACUCUGGGUGACUGCUUUUGAUUUUUUCCUUUUAUUUUGAGACCAAAUUAGAGAAAAGAAUUCCUUGAUGACAUUUGAGAUCACAAAAAAAGCUGAAUUCAAUUCGCCAAACCAUUUGGAACUAUAUCCUGAAGCCAGGCUUUAUCUGGAAAUAUUGGGAAUGGGUGUCAUCGUCGUCGAGUCAACAUAUGCAUAUCUCUGCUCGCACGGUACAAAGUCAAACCUUUCUGGGGCCAUAUCACAACUGGAGAUGAAAAGUAGAUUAAAUACAAAAACAUCGUAAGGAGAAGAAAGUGGAGCUCGGUGAACAUACGGUUGACUCAAAGCCAGCUAUCAAGUACCUGAGGGUGAUAAUUGUACUCAGCUUAGAGACCAGAGUAAGCAUACCAAAAGGAAAUUAAAGCCACUGUGGCAAUCGCAAAAAUGUUGCCGAAAGCUGACGGGUUAAAACCCCGCUUCUAGCUGGAGUGGCUCAAUCCAUUCUGCUCCCCUCAUCACUUUUGUGGACGGAGGCACUUGUAAACUCUCAGAAAUGAAAGGGGGUGGAUUCGCCUUAGCUACUAAGGCUUUUAAAACAACAUCAGAUGAACCAGUACUGGUUGUGGCGGGCAUGAUUUCAGUGGACAGAAACAAUUAUUGUGCAUCAUGCAAUACUGUACGUAAAGGACACACAGAAGAAGGGCGCAAGAGUUCGGUAAGGACAGUAUCGCAUGAUUUCUGGCAAUGCACAGACUAAUCCGUAACGUGGCUUGAGCGAAAACAUGGGGAGACCAACUACCAUAUUACCUAAUUCUUCAUGGCAGACGGUAGCUGGUACAGAAAGUAUCUACUUCGCUUUGGGGCGGUUGAUGCACCGAAUUGUCCUGGAUGGAAUGGCAUGAGGAUCAAGGGCAUGUGAUGUUUCGCUACCCAAAGUUGGCAAUGGGGAAAAUAAAUAUCAACGAAGCGCUGGGAAUGAGGAUGAG